AUGAUGAGAUUGAUCGUGUACUCAGAUGUGCCAACGAUGCCAGCGAGCCUUAAUGCUACGGUUACAGCUCUACUUCACGAUAGCAAUGUUAUGCGUGCACUCCAUCUCUCCGGCCAGACAUGGAUGGCAUUCAUACGUUGGUCCCUAGCAUGUGUCAUCCACUCACACGACAACAAUGAAGCCAACAAAGAAUCUCAACCUGCGUCUAGCACUAAUCCAGAGGGUUGCCGGGCCAUCUGGAACCUGAUAUGGAAAACGGAUGUUCCUCCAACAGUCAAAAACUUUGCUUGGAGAGUGGUCUCAGAUUCCCUUCCUACUUGGGUUAACAAGCAUAAGAGGACCUUAGAAAUCACCAGCAUAUGUCCGGUGUGUGGUGUGGAACCGGAAGACAACUUCCAUCCUCUAUGUCGCUGCCCUAGAGCAAGAGAAUUAUGGUGCUAUAUGUCAGAGGUUUGGAACCUCCCACCGAUGGAUACCAUUCAGAAUGUUGGGAAGGAAUGGCUGUUCCAAGUGCUACAGCCACUUCAUGAAUUAGAGAGGUCCAUGCUUCUUAUGACUCUCUGGAGGUGUUGGUUCAUUCGUAAUGAGAUAGUGCACAAUAAGAUUCCGCCUCCCCUUGAGGUAUCGAGGAGGUUCCUUGUCAGCUAUCUGGAGUCACUAAUUGCUAUCAAAACGAACAUGCAUAUGGAUCCAGCCAAGGGGAAGUCAAUUAUCUCCUUUGAUCGCACGUUAACCCAUGCUGAAGCGCCCGUACCGGCCGCCCUGAAGUGGGCUGCACCACCGGAAGGGUGGGUAAAGCUAAACACGGACGGCUCUUUUCAUGAUGGUAGGGCAGGUGCAGCUUUGGAGGCAGAGCUGGGUGCUUGCAUGGAAGGUCUUUCUCUAGCGAUCCAGAGAAGUGAUCGUCCAGUGACCAUUGAGUUGGAUUCACUUGUUGCUAUAAAGCUGAUUCAAGGACAGGAGACAGAUAGGUUUAUUUAUGCUUCUUUAGUUAGCGAUAGUCUAGCAAAUUUUGCUCGUACCGAGGGAAGAACCAUGACUUGGAUUGGCUCUGGUCCCCCGAUAGUGCUUGAGCUAGUCGCCGCUGAAUUGGCAUUCCACAGUCGGCCCACAUCACGACCCAGGUUGUCUUCCUGGAAGGCGAGCCGAUGCCCACGGCCGCAACACUCGACCUCCGCCACGACGACGCCUGACGCUACAGAGAAGAAGCCGGGAGGCGGGCAACAAGAAUAUGAGAUCUAUACGGUUGUACGGGGGGUGACACGAUGGUGGCCAAUAGUGCGCGCCCCUCACUCUAUCAUCUCCCCAUUUGCUCGAUCGUUCGACUGUUGA
Molecule: ribosomal RNA, 1332 nt
Filed under: Triticum aestivum (bread wheat)
Lineage: Eukaryota; Viridiplantae; Streptophyta; Magnoliopsida; Poales; Poaceae
Description: partial small subunit ribosomal RNA
Source: RNAcentral